Molecule: transfer-messenger RNA, 394 nt
Filed under: bovine gut metagenome
Rfam family: transfer-messenger RNA
About the family: Bacterial tmRNA, also known as 10Sa RNA or SsrA, is named for its dual tRNA and mRNA-like properties.
Source: RNAcentral
GGGGAUGUUUUGGUUUUGACAGCAUCGAUCAGGGCAGGCAAGCACGCCGGGCUUUCGAAGGCUGGCCCGUUAAUCUCAACCGACAAUAAUUAGCUGGCAACAGCAACUAUGCACUCGCUGCCUAAUCUGCCAAGCGGAUUGGCUUAAUGGGGACGCCAAGGCUGCGUCACCCACGAGUAUCCCUCCGGCUUUACGGCUUCUCUGUCCGGAUCAAGGGGUAUCAUCCAAGAAGCCUGCACGCGGGGAGUUCCCUAAACUGCGCCAAGACCCAGGGAAUAAGCGUCGGUUCGCCCGUCUUCCGGCAGGCCGCCGCCGACAAUCAAAGGAAGAAUAAGCGUGUAGAAAACCCGUUUUGGCUUUGUUUGGACGGCGGUUCGAGUCCGCCCAUCUCCAC